Molecule: ribosomal RNA, 467 nt
Filed under: uncultured bacterium
Lineage: Bacteria
Description: partial 16S ribosomal RNA
Rfam family: Bacterial small subunit ribosomal RNA
Source: RNAcentral
ACGAACGCUGGCGGCGUGCUUAACACAUGCAAGUCGAACGGAAAGGCCCUGCUUUUGUGGGGUGCUCGAGUGGCGAACGGGUGAGUAACACGUGAGUAACCUGCCCUUGACUUUGGGAUAACUUCAGGAAACUGGGGCUAAUACCGGAUAGGAGCUCCUGCUGCAUGGUGGGGGUUGGAAAGUUUCGGCGGUUGGGGAUGGACUCGCGGCUUAUCAGCUUGUUGGUGGGGUAGUGGCUUACCAAGGCUUUGACGGGUAGCCGGCCUGAGAGGGUGACCGGCCACAUUGGGACUGAGAUACGGCCCAGACUCCUACGGGAGGCAGCCGUGGGGAAUAUUGCACAAUGGGCGGAAGCCUGAUGCAGCAACGCCGCGUGCGGGAUGACGGCCUUCGGGUUGUAAACCGCUUUCGCCUGUGACGAAGCGUGAGUGACGGUAAUGGGUAAAGAAGCACCGGCUAACUACGUG